Molecule: ribosomal RNA, 253 nt
Filed under: uncultured bacterium
Lineage: Bacteria
Description: partial 16S ribosomal RNA
Rfam family: Bacterial small subunit ribosomal RNA
Source: RNAcentral
UACGUAGGGUGCAAGCGUUAAUCGGAAUUACUGGGCGUAAAGCGUGCGCAGGCGGUUUUGUAAGUCUGAUGUGAAAUCCCCGGGCUCAACCUGGGAACUGCAUUUGUGACUGCAUCGCUGGAGUGCGGCAGAGGGGGAUGGAAUUCCGCGUGUAGCAGUGAAAUGCGUAGAUAUGCGGAGGAACACCGAUGGCGAAGGCAAUCCCCUGGACCUGUACUGACGCUCAUGCACGAAAGCGUGGGGAGCAAACAGG